UACGAAGGGGGCUAGCGUUGCUCGGAAUCACUGGGCGUAAAGGGUGCGUAGGCGGGUCUUUAAGUCAGGGGUGAAAUCCUGGAGCUCAACUCCAGAACUGCCUUUGAUACUGGAGAGCUUGAGUUCGGGAGAGGUGAGUGGAACUGCGAGUGUAGAGGUGAAAUUCGUAGAUAUUCGCAAGAACACCAGUGGCGAAGGCGGCUCACUGGCCCGAUACUGACGCUGAGGUGCGAAAGCGUGGGGAGCAAACAGG
RNAcentral lists this ribosomal RNA (253 nucleotides) under uncultured bacterium. RNAcentral describes it as "partial 16S ribosomal RNA". It matches the Rfam family "Bacterial small subunit ribosomal RNA", at positions 524 to 776 of the family's 1533-position model. The record is from RNAcentral.